CGGUCUCACCAACGGGGAGCUUUAUUACAAGAUUGGCGAGACGAGUGGCACACUUGGAUUUCCAUCUGGUUUAUUUGCAAAUGUGGGUGUUGGAGGCAUUCUAAGCGGAGGGGGUUACGGCAUGAUGAUGCGAAAGCACGGCCUGGCUGCUGACCACGUGAUCGAUGCUCGCCUCAUCGACUCAAACGGAAGAAUUCUCGAUAGAAAAGCCAUGGGAGAAGAUUGGUUCUGGGCUAUUAGAGGAGGUGGUGGUGGAAGCUUUGGAGUUGUUAUUUCCUGGAAAGUUAGAUUACUUCCUGUGCCUAAGAAGGUGACCGUUUACAAAGUCUACAGAACAAUUGAACAAAAUCUCACUAGCAUUUUUCAUCGCUACCAAUCUGUUGUACCCAAGUUCCCGAAAGAGCUUAUGAUCAAGGCCGAUGGACAGAGCAUUGUGAGCAAUUUGAGUCGUCGAGCGGAUAAGAGAACAAUGCAAUUCUUAUUCGAGGCCUUAUACCUAGGCAGCGCGGAUAAGAUGCUCUCCGUGAUGCAAGGCCAGUUCCCUGAGCUUGGCGUGGUACGGGAGGACUGUUUUGAAGUCAGCUGGCUCCAGGCCAUGGUGUACUUUUCAGGUUUCGACUUGUUUACGCCUCCUGAAAUAUUGCUCAACCUCACUGUUUUGCCUCGGCCUGCUUUCAAAUCAAAUAAUGACUACACUGAAGUGCCUAUUCCGGUACAAGGGCUAGAAGGUCUGUGGGAUCUCAUGUACAAACUUCCUCCAACAAAAGCAACUUUACAGUUUACACCUUAUGGAGGAAGAAUGGAUGAAAUUUCGGAAUCUGCACUUCCGUUCCCUUAUAGAGCUGGAACCUUGCUAAAGUUCAACAGGUUCGCAGAAACGGAUACAGAUGAAGCUGAACGCAUGGAAUGGAUCAAGACCUUAGCAAAAUAUUUGACUCCUUAUGUUACAAAGAAUCCGAGAAGUGCAUAUGUUAAUUAUGUGGACUUGACUAUGGGGAGUAAUAAUCUCAAAGGUGCCACAAGCUACCAGCAGGCGAGUAGAUGGGGGAAACGAUACUUCAAGAAUAAUUUUGACAGAUUGGUUAAAAUCAAAUCGGCUGUGGAUCCUGAUAACUUCUUCAGACAUGAACAAAGUAUUCCUCCCAUCUCGAUUUGAAAAUAUAAGAACUAGCUUGUUAGAAUCAACCACAACAUGUAUGUAUUAUCUCAUUUAUUCAUUUUUCUGGAGCUCUCAUUAAUAGAGACAGUGAUAUGACUAUAGCGAAAUGUUGACAUCCUACACUGUGGUAACCGGUAAUUGUUUUAAUUUGAAAUAAUAAGAGAUAUCAUAUCUUCAUUCCUCUGUAUCAUAUCUCUGAUACUGAUGUAAAUGUUUUAAUUUAUACUAAUUUUUGAAUUUUUUUAAUUAAAUUCUAAAUAGAAUCUUAAUUCACAGUUACUUUUUUAUUUCAGAAUAUAUCAUGUCAUCAAAUAAAUGAUUUAAAAUAAGAUAUACAUUUGAAACAAAUUUUAUUACUCGUCUAAUCUCAUAAACUACCAAGAAAGUUUAAAAUAAUUACAUACUAAUAAGAGAGUAAUUUGAUUUUGCAAAGAUACCGAUCAAAUAAUAUAGGUGGAAACCCCCUGAUGAGGGAUGUCUUAAAGUUAAUGUGGAUGCCUCGGUGCACCCUGGAGCUUCUUCUUUUACAAUUGGUAUGUGUUGGAGCCAAAGUUCUGCCGGAUGCCGAAGCCUGAAAGUGACCUGAAAUAUAGAAGAAUGCGAGGGAUUGUCCCCCCGAUUCACCUCCGGCGUGAGAAUAAGUUAGUGGCUCUAGGAAGGGGUUUAUGGAACUGCAAGCGUAAGUGUGUAUGUAUGAGAGUGUAUGUGAAUGUGUUUUACCCCUGGUUUACCUCCUUUAUAUAGGGGGACGAGGAUCCCUGUUGUGUAACGUCCCCGCCCGAUGCGGGAGGGAAGUGAUGGCGAGUUAAUGAGGCGGGAUCUCCGCCCUUCGACCGUUGUGGACUAGGAGCGUUGAUGGAUGUUCAAAUAAUGGGCUGGGCCUUUCUUGGGCCUUGGCGUAUUGGGCCGAGGCUCAUACUCCAACAUGUCCCCAGGCUUCGGUCGGGUUGUAAACGCGGCCGAAGUCUGAGUUUGCUUCGACUGACCGACCGGAGGAGGCGUUAGGCUGGGAGAUCGACAGGUGCUUCGGUGUGAUUUCAAAGUGUCUGACCCGAAUGGUGCAAGGGGUCGUGUGAGUGGGUUUUGCCUUGAUGACGUUACCUCGAGAUUCGUGUUGGAUCUGGGCCGUGCAUUCCAAAGGGUGCCAUAAAUGAGGCGCGCCUUUUCAUAAUUUUGUUUAUAAAUACAAAUCAUUACUCGGUUUCUUUUCAUAGUUCCAACAUCUCUUCAUUUUCCUUGCAACUCCCCGCUCUCUCAAACUCUUACUCUCCCAGCAACCGGCGGCAGUCCCAGUUCCGGCGUAUCUCCACCACCUCUUUCCGUUCUUUCUCCAACAAGUAAGUUCCUCUUCCUUCCUCGUUGAUUUCUUUUACUGUCUUUGUAGAAUGCUGCUAGAUAUCGUCGAUUCUUUGUAUUGUAUUUUCCGGUGAAAGUUUUUCGCCGGUUCGUAAAUAUUUGUCGAUCGCCGGUGGUUUUCUUUUGCUGUUUUGUUCAUAUUGUAAUGCUAUCUUGUUGAGUUGUCGUAGAUUAGAAUUGUGGUUGGGGUAUUCUGGCGGUUCUCGAGUUUUCAACUCGGGCAUUGCCGUUGUCUUUUCCCCCCGCUUGUUGCUUUCUUUGCGUGUUGUCUUGUCGCUUGGGUUGGUUUUCUAGGGUUAGGUUUUGUCUAAGCCCCGUCGGCCCGACCCGAUUCGGCCCUCUGUACUCGGGCUCGCCUCUUUUUCAUUUCUUCUUUCUUUCCGAGUACAUGGCUUAUGUUUGCCUUCUCUCGUUUGCAGGCAAAUGGAUCGGUCGGGUGACGUUGUGGGACCUCUUACUCGGCUGCGGACCACUUCAGCGAUGCGCUGAAGUUUCCAAUGGCCAACUUUCCUUCCCUACUGACCGAAGCCGAUCUGAAGACGUUUCGGAUAAAAUAUCAGAUUCAUCGGUCGUGGGAUAUUUACCCGGCCAUAGCGAACGACUGCAUAUACCAAACUCCUGAGUCGGAGGACGGUCAUAAGUGCGUGGGCAUCUCCGAGAAUGCCUUCAAGUGCGGCUUUCGGCUUCCGAUGCUUCCCCUGCUGAAGAAACUCCUGAAGCAGACGGGGAUCGCCCUAGGCCAGUUGGACCCGAACGGAUUCACGUACAUUAACGUUUUCCAGCAUCGGUGUCUGAUGGCUGGCGUGUCUCCUCGGCCAGCCCUUUUCUGGAAUCACCACGAUUUUAAGAAAAAUGCCAAGAGCAAUGGCUUCUACACCAUCGGCCGCAAGACCGGCCGACCGAAUUGGUGUGAAACCAAUUCGAGCAACAAAGGGACCCACGAACGAUGGUUCUAUCUAGGGGGCCACUCGAUCCAUAAGUUUUCCACGUGGAGGGAGGUCGACCCCUCAAUCAUCACCACUCCCCUUCUGGUCGGCAAGGACCUAGAGGACUUUGAGAAAUUAAGCAAAGUCCAGGAGCCGAACCGGAUCUUGCUAUCGACGAGCCGGGAGAAGGAGUGCCUCUUUACUCUUUGGGGUAGUGACGGUAGUCUCCCUGUUUCUCCUAGGCAUUUCCUUCGUUAUUCAACUGUUUCGUUUAUAUUUGUGAAUUGCUCUGACACUUGUUCUUUUGUGCAGUGUCUUCUCGGACCGAAGCCCUAAAGCGGAAGACGGCGAAGGCCAUGGCGGCCAAGAAGGAGGCCGAAGCAAAGGCCCGUGGCGAAACAACAGUUGGUGCCAUAGUCCAGGCGGAUGUGGCUAGGGAGAAGGCUCCGGAGGUUGGUCGUACGGAUGGGGCGACCGAGAAAACCUCCGAGGUCGUGGAGGUUCCGGCCACCGAAGCUUCCAGGAAGAGGAAUAGGUCGGACGACUCGUCUGAAGUCCGGCCGUAUGUUCCGGAGUGGUCGGUUCUAGUGACCGAUUCCAUUGCGAUCCUGGCUCCGGAUCGGAUCAAGGAUGUCGCAGGCGAUCUGUGCCGAUCGCAAGUUCUCCCGGCCGACCGGGGGACUUAUGAUUCAGCCACUGCUCUCCAGGCGUGCGAGCAACUGAUGUGCUUCCUCUCCUUGGUAAGUGUCUUCGUUCUUCACUUUUUCGUUUUAUAAACCCUGAAUGCAUCUUUUAACUUGUCUAAUUUUGUGCAGGCUUCUCCCUGGGCGGCGGCGGUGACCGAUAAGGUCCAGGACAUGCAGAAGCAGAUGGCUGGGGUCAACGCCCUUACUAUCCGAGCCAAUCUCGCCGAAGAUACCCUGGCGGCCCUAAAGACGGAGCUGGAUGCCGCUCAUCAGGAGGUGAAGGACCUUCGGGAAUCCGAAGGUCGUCUAAAGGGGCAGGUCGACACUCUGAGCAAGAGGGUUCAGCGUCGCAACUUGGCGUUGAAAGCCGCCCGGAAGAAGGAGAAGAAGGCGAAGAAGCUUCUGGAGAAGACCGAAGAUCGGUUUCUGGAUAUAGGCUAUGAUGAGGCCGUUCGCCGGGCCCACAAGGAAGGGUUGGAUCACAAGCUUCUUCUUGACGAAGGGGCUUCGGAUCCAGUCGGCCGUGAGGACCCGGACGACCCUAUUGUAGUCUCAUCCGAUCCAGAUUCCGAUUAUUCGGAGUAGUGUAGUUUCAGUAGUUUGUUUGCCUUCGGGCUUGUAUAAAUAUUUUGCCUUCGGGCUUUUAAUUAAUUUUGCCUUCGGGCUUGCUUUCAAUACUUGGUUUAUCUCCAUACAUGUGUCUUUUUCCGAUGUACGUCUUCGAUAAUGUUAAUGCAUGUCUUUGACUAAAUUGUCUCGAUGCGAGUUAUAAGUGUCGUAUGGCGUAGGCCGAGCGAUCGGUCUCGACACAGUUUUAGAGUUUAUGCAUGUCUCCGACCGAAGAGUCUCGAUACAUGUUUAUUUUGAGUUCAAGUUAAUGUUAUGUAUGUCUCCGACCGAAGAGUCUCGAUACAUGUUAUCAUAAUUUUCAAGUUGUACAUCUUUAGCCUCGAAAUCGGCUUCAGCACAAUGCCUCUGGAUUCCCCCAAUAUUUGGAGAUUGUUACUAUCUGUAAGUUAGGAAUUCGAUCGGCCCCAUUUAGAGAUAGAAACAAUCGUGCAAAUAUUUAGGUUAAUCAUGGCCACCUCUUUCGGUCCCGUAUCUUAAUCAGGUUGCCCCGAGUUACGGGAUCGAAUGGAGUGCUAAACAAGUUAUAACUAUCCAACAUUUGAAAUAGGAACUUUUAUUCAUCAUAAGGGAAGGAAUUACAUAACUGGAACUUUAAAAAGGAAAAUAUUCGGGCGGGAGGCCUUACUGAUAGUAUUUCCGGAGUUGGGAAGCAUGCCAAGUAUUCUUAAUGGGGCUUCCAUCCAAAGCUGCUAGUUUGUAGGUUCCCGGCCGAAUGAUCUCGACAACAGUGUAAGGUCCUUCCCAGUUUGGCAUAAGCUUGCCUUGCUUUGUUGGCAUAGAAGUUGCCAGAUCCCGGAGAACCAUGUCCCCAACUCUGAAGGAACGCUUUCGGAUACCCGAAUCAUAAUACUGAGAUGCUUGCUGUUGGUAUCGGACAUUCCUCUGAUGGGCGGCUUCUCUUUCUUCUUCUAGGAGAUCCAGGUUGCCUCGGAGGCCAUAUUCAUUAGUAUCGGGGUUGAAGACCUGGGUUCGGUAAGAUUCCAGGCCAACCUCAACUGGAACAAGUGAGUCGGUCCCAUAAGCUAACCGAAACGGCGUUUCUCCUGUCGAAGAGCGAGGAGUGGUUCGGUAUGCCCACAGGACCCAAGGGAGCUCUUCGGCCCACAGUCCCUUAGCUUCUCCAAGGCGCUUCUUGAUUCCGUGAAAGAUGAUCUUGUUAGCUGCCUCGAUCGCCCCGUUUCCUUGGGGAUGACCGACCGAGCUGAACCUUUGUUGAAUGCCGAAGCUGGCCAGGAAUUCUUUGAACUUUCUCCCAACAAACUGAGUGCCAUUGUCGGAGACACACACCAUCGGUAUGCCGAACCUCACGAUUAUUUGCUCCAGGAAGAAUUUCUUGGCGGCCUGUUCGGUGAUAACUGAGAGUGGUCGGGCUUCGACCCACUUUGUCAUGUAGUCAAUGGCCACUAUGCAGUAUUUGGCCUGCCUGGUGCUGGUCGGUAGGAUUCCCACUAUGUCGAUGGCCCACAUGGAAAAUGGUAUUGGGCUGAGGACCGAAGUCAUUUCUUCUGGGGGUUGCUUCGGAACAUUGCUAUGGAUUUGACACUGCCGGCAUUUCUUUGAAUAGUUGGCUGCAUCUUCCCUAAGGGUCGGCCAGAAGAAACCCUGUCGGAGUAUCUUUAGGGCUAGGGAUCUGCCGGCCAGGUGUUCGCCGCAGAUUCCUUCAUGAACCGUCUCCAGGGCUAGAAGCUGUUCCUCCGGAUCCAAGCAUCGGAGCAGGGGCUGAGAGACUGAUCGUCUAAAGAGUCGGCCCCCGAUCAGUGUGUAGCUAGCUGCUCGGUACUUUAUCUUUUGAGCUUCCUUCUUCUCUAAAGGCAAGAACCCCUUCUCCAAGUAGGCUCUGAUGGGAGUCAUCCAAUUUAUGCCUUGAUGAAUCUCCAGGCAAGCUUUCUUGUCGACCGAAGGCGCUUUUACCUCCGUCAAGUAGAUUGAUCCCGUCAAAUUUUGUGUUUCGGCCGAGGCCAAGCGAGAGAGAGCAUCGGCCCGGCCAUUGUCCUCCCGACCGAUGGCGCUUAAUUCAAAUGUUUCAAAGAACUGAGUCUGUUCCCGUACCUUGGCGGCGUAAGCCUUCGUUCGAGGCUCUUUCUGUUCAUAUUCUCCGGAAAAAUGUUUGACGACAAGCAUGGAGUCACUAAAAGCCCUCAAAUGCCUUACUUCCAGAUUUUUUGCCAAACCCAUUCCUGCCAGGAGGGCUUCGUAUUCAGCCUCAUUGUUGGUCAAAGGGAAAGUGAAUCGGAUGGCUUGACAAAUCUCAAAUCCAUCGGGACUGGAAAGGAUCAGUCCGGCUCCACACUUUGACCCGGCCACCGACCCAUCUACAAACAGUUUCCACUUUCCUGGAAUUCGUAUGAGCUGUUCUUUCGGCUCCAAAUCCUUCGGCCCCGAAAAAAUGCACUCCACCAUGAAGUCAACCAAGGCUUGGGCUUUUAUGGCUGUUCGGGGAACAUAUUCUAAGUCAUAUUCCCCCAAUUCUAUAGACCAGGCGACGACUCUGCCCGAAGCCUCCGGUCGGCUGAAGAUCUUCUUCAAAGGUUGGUCGGUGACCACUUGUAUCGUUCGCCCUUGGAAAUAGUGUCGCAAUUUUCGGGAGGCCAUGACCAGCCCAUAUGCGAACUUCUCGGCAUUCGGGUAUCGGGUUUCGGCAUCCCUCAACAUAUGAGACACAUAGAAGACCGGAUGUUGGUUCUUCUCGUGUUCCUUCACUAAGACCGCACCAAGGGUUCGGUCACUUACUGCCAAGUACAGCUGGAGGGUCUCCUUCGGAUCGGGCCUCAGCAGUAGGGGGGCUUUAACCAGAUAUUCUUUUAUUUCUUCGAAGGCCUUUAUGCAGUUCGGCCCCCACUCAAAAUUUUUUGCUCCUUUCAGAACUUCGAAAAAAGGGAGCGCCUUUUCUGCCGACCGAGAGAUGAACCUUCGGAGGGCUGCCAGUCGGCCAGUUAACUUCUGAAUGUCCCGAAUGGUCUUCGGGGCUUCCAUUUCUAACACUGCCUUUAUCUUUUCAGGAUUUGCUUCGAUCCCCCUUGCACUGACCAUGUACCCUAGGAACUUGCCACUACAAACCUCGAAGGUGCACUUGGCGGGGUUGAUCUUCAUGUUGUUCCGUCUUAGGGUCUCAAAGCAUUCUUUGAGAUCAUCGGCAUGAUCCCGAAACAAGGAUUUUACUAUCAUAUCAUCGACGUAGCAUUCCAUGUUUCGGCCUAUCUGAUCGGCGAAGACUUUGUUCACCAUCCUUUGAAAAGUGGCCCCCGCAUUUUUCAGACCGAAGGGCAUCUUGAUGUAAGCAUAGGUUCCCUUCGGGGUGAUGAAUGCUGUCUUAGGAAUAUCCUCGGCAUCCAUGGCGAUCUGAUGAUAGCCUGAAAACGCGUCCAAAAAGCUGAGUAUUUGAUAGCCAGAGGUGGCAUCUAUCAGCUGAUCGAUGUUCGGCAGAGGGUAAUGAUCCUUCGGGCAAUUUUUGUUGAGGUCGGUAUAAUCGACACACAUUCUCCAUUUGUUGUUUGACUUUUUGACCACCACCACAUUUGCCAACCACUCAGGAUACUCAAUUUCUUCAAUAAACUUGGCCUCCAGUAACUUCUCCACUUCGGCCUCAAUCACCUUCUGCCUUUCCACAGCGAAGUUCCUCUUUUUCUGCUUAACGGGCACAGCCUGUGGAUGAACAUUUAGCCUGUGCCGAGCGAUCGACUCAUCCAACCCCGGCAUAUCUUCGGGCCCCCAGGCAAAAACAUCAUGGUACCGACGGACCACAUUAAUCACCUUUUCCUUCAGUUCUGGUUCCAUAUCUUUACCGAUCCGAACCAUUUUUCCCGAGCACCCUGCAUAUAGUUCCACCUCUUCGGUCUCAGUGCCUGGUUCGGCUAUCGGGUUUGAGAGAUCAUUUCCAAACUUCUCCAAUUCAAUAUGUAGGGCAUGGCCGCUGCCCCCAGGACCAUCUUUGGGUCGGCGCCGUUUGUUUCCUUCGGCGCCGCCUAGAUCCUUGUCCUUCUCCAAGUCUUCCAGCAUAAUGAUCCUAGCAGCCUUCUGAUCACCUCUCAUCUCUCCCACCCCUUUCUCGGUCGGGAACUUCAACUUGAGAUGGGGGAUAGAGGCAAUGGCUUCGAAAGUAGUGAGAACGGGUCUCCCCAAGAUGGCAUUGAAAGGACUCUCGACUCGGACCACAUAGAAUUUGAGCUGUUUUUCCACAGUAUAAGGGGAUUCACCGAGCAACAAGGGCAAGUGGAUCGUACCUUCGAUCGGGACGGGCUGAUUGCCGAACCCAUAGAGAGAUGCCUCAUAGCAGGUAUCGAUCUGCUUGCCUUCCAAGCUCAUCUGCUGGUAGGUGUUGUAGUAGAGGACGUUAACAGAACUUCCUCCAUCGACCAGGACCUUCCAGAUCUUGUUCUGACCGAUCACGGGAUUAAUGACCAAUGGAUCCUCGUGCGGCAGCAUAACGUCUUCAUAGUCUUCUUGUGAGAACAUUAUAGGGUACGACUGUUUGGUGGAGUUGAUGCUAUAGAGGUUGUAGACCUGUCGGGCGUACCUCUUCUUGGCUGUCUUGCUACUCCGGUCCAGAAUUGUUCCUCCAAAUAUCGUUCGGACCUCGCCUCUGUACCUCUCACCUUCUUCGGGCGCUUUCCCUUUAUCUUCUUUGGGACCCAACCGAUCCCUCAGAUCUUUAACAUACUGGUUCAAAUCACCAGCCUUGACCAUCCUUUCUAUCAACCUCUUCAAGUGGUAGCAUUCAUCGGUAUUAUGACCGUUGUCCCGAUGAUAGUCGCAAUACUUAUCAGAGUUUUUCUUGUAAUCUGGGAUCUUCAUCUUCGGUGGCCGAACGAAUCCUGGUUUCCCCUUAAUCUCGUUCAGAAUCUUGGAGACAGAUGUAUUCAGAGGAGUGAACACAGUGCUGUCUCUAUCUCUCCUUCGUUCGGCCCCUCUGUCCAGCUUCUCAUCCUUUUCAUCUCUUCUGCUUCGGUAGCCAUCAUUUCUUUUUCCUUUGCCGUCCGAACGGGAACUGUACCGAUCAUCUUUCCGGUCAUUCUUAUGUCCCCCGAUGGACUCCAUUUUCCUUCUGAUGCUCUCCCCCCGCAAGUAAAUGUCGUUCAACGACUUGGGAGGUAUAUCGUACAAGGACGACCGGAGCUUCUUACCCUUCACCGGAUCCAGACCAGCCGUCAGGAACCCUGCAGCCUUCACCUUAUCCAGGUUAGUGACCAUCCCAGCUUCUUCCUUGAACCUAGCCAAGUAAUCCCCUAGCUCCUCAUUAGGCCUCUGUCUGCAAUGAAUAAGGGCUUCUGUAUCCUUCUCUCUUCGGCACAAGUGAGAGUAGUGCCUCAAGAACUUGCGUUUCAGUUGAUCAUAAGAGCUGACCGACCUUGGCCGCAAGGAUCGGUACCACAUCGUAGCAGAUCCCUUUAGGUAGGUCUUGAACAUCUUGCAUAGCAUGAUGUCACAAUGCCCCAUUCCGGUCAUAAGGGAUUCGUACUUGUCGCAGUGAUCGAUCGGGUCACCCUUCCUGUUAAAUUCAUUCAUUUUCGGGAACUGCCACCCUGGGGGUGGUCGAUAUUGCUCGAUCUCUUCGACUAUUACUGGCUCAUGGGUCAACGUUUUGUCCCCAAACAUGGCCUUCUCCAUUCGGCGGAGUCGGUCCCUAACGUGGGGGCCUUCCUCCCCUUCGGAAUCCGAAGGUGUGACAUGCCUGUGACGAGGCCCUCGGGAGUGCGACUCGGAGUCCGAAGACCCGUCUUGGUCUUCCCGAUUUCUCUUCUUAUUUCCUUCGCCUUCUGGCGCUCGAUCUCCUUCGGCCUCCAAGGCCUCUCGGAGGGCUCUCUCUUGGAGCUCAAUUUCUUCCCUUUGUAGCUGGAGGGCCUUCAGCCGCAGUUCAUCGGCUUCCCUCUUCUUGGCUAAUCGGGCAGCUUCUUGCUCUUUGGUCUUGGAAGAUUGGGCUUUAGCAGCCUGCUCUUCUCGCCAUUUCAACAGCAUCUGCUGUUGCUCUUCGGGAGUGGGCAACAGCCCUUCGGGACUGUUGCCAAAGUCAAAACCGGGGUUUGGGUUGGAGGUGUUUCCAGUGGUUUGUUCGGUUGUGUUUGUCAUGGUGUUGUUUUACAAGAAAUUCUACUUGCAGUUCCCACAGACGGCGCCAAUGUUGGAGCCAAAGUUCUGCCGGAUGCCGAAGCCUGAAAGUGACCUGAAAUAGAGAAGAAUGCGAGGGAUUGUCCCCCCGAUUCAUCUCCGGCGUGAGAAUAAGUUAGUGGCUCUAGGAAGGGGUUUAUGGAACUGCAAGCGUAAGUGUGUAUGUAUGAGAAUGUAUGUGAAUGUGUUUUACCCCUGGUUUACCUCCUUUAUAUAGGGGGACGAGGAUCCCUGUUGUGUAACGUCCCCGCCCGAUGCGGGAGGGAAGUGAUGGCGAGUUAAUGAGGCGGGAUCUCCGCCCUUCGACCGUUGUGGACUAGGAGCGUUGAUGGAUGUUCAAAUAAUGGGCUGGGCCUUUCUUGGGCCUUGGCGUAUUGGGCCGAGGCUCAUACUCCAACAGUAUGAUUCAACGAGAUCAUAAUGGCUCUUUCAUUCAAGGGAAAAAUAUGUGUUUGCCUAACCCAGGUACUGACCUAGAAGCUGAAGGCUGAAGCUAUUGGUAUUCAAGAAGCCUUAGCAUGGAUAAAGAAUAGUGAGGCCCAGAGCAUAAUCAUGCACUGAGUCUGACUCCUUGCUGGCGGUUAAAGCUAUUCAGGGGAAUGUGCACUAUCAGAUUGAGGUAGGUGAUGUUCUGGAAACUUGUCGCAAUAGUUUACAUGCUAAGUGCGGAACUUCCAUUCAUUUUGUUCGAAAGCAAGCGAAUAAUUAAGGUGGCUCAUGAAAUAGCUAGAUUACCUUGUUCAUUAGAUUGCUUUAAUAUUUUUACGUCUCCUCCUGUUGCGGUGGAGACCAUCUUGUAUGACAUUUCAAGUUAAUGAAACCAUUUUCUUUCAAAAAUAAAUAAAUAAUAAUAUAUCAGAAUGAUCACAUAUCUUAUUUAAUUUAAAUAUUUCUUCAAGCACUAACAUAUAUAUAAUGCAAGUAUUGGCAUAUAUAUAUAUAUAUAAGCACAUUUAAAACACAUUUUCAAAAUUCGGAAUAACAUAAUUUUCAUAAACACGUUUUGCAAUCUUAAUGCAAAAAUACUUAUUACAAUAAGAUAUAUUAAUUCGUUUUCACCAUGAUUAGUUUAAACUGAUGAAAAUAAUUUUAAACUGCUCUACAUAUAAUAAUUUCCCGCAAGUCUAAAAAUGAAACAAGAUUUAACGUAACUAGACCUUUCUGCUAUCAUCUCUAUUGAUCAGUCCAUUAUUGAUAUUUACAUAAAAAAGAAAGUUCAUUUAUUUAUUUGGGAUAUGUGAUAUAAAUUCCUCAAAAGAUUAACAAUGAAAACUGAAUCAGAAUGUGCAUGAAGACAUAGGUGGUGUUUGGCUACGGCUUUUAAGCCGACUUCUGGGCUUAUAAGUUAGAAGCACUUAUUUCGUACUGUUUGUGUAAUAAGUCAAGAAGCACCUAUAAAAAGCUAGGAAUGCUAGCUUUUGUUUCAGGACUUCUGCUUAUUUGCCAAACACUUUAAUCACUUAUAAGUCUUGUAUGGCUUCUAACUUCUACUCCACUUAUUUAUUUUAAGCAAUAAGCAUUUAUUUUAAGCUCAGCCAAACGGCCCCAUUGUCUGUACCACACGUAACAAAAGAGUUGCUCAAGUCACCCAAUUUUGAGUUUUGUGAUCACCGGUGCAUAAUGUGUUGAAUCCUGCUUUUAACUUUUUCCAGUUACUCAAUUAUUUUCAAGAAAUGUUCCAAUAAUCAGCCAGCUACGGACUUGCUCAAAGUCUAACAAUAAUGAUAUUAUCUUAUAUGUCAACUAUUGCUCUUGAAAAACAUAUAUAUUAUUAUAUAUUUUUCCUAAUAACGGGGAAUAUAGUCGUUUUCUUAACGAGCAUAUACUCUUUUAUACUCCAUUGAAGAAGACAUUUGGAUGUAUUUACGAGGGAGAAUGGAACUAGAAACCACGAAGGACAAAUAAAUACAAAGAAUAGUGUGAAUAAAUGUGCUGAAACGUCUAUAAUGAUGAUCUGUAGAAAAGAAUUACAUAAAUAAUAUAGAGAAUUCUUUUGGUUAUAUUUUGCAAGAAAUCUAUUGCUAAAAGAUAUUUGCCUAGUCUUUCGCCGUACAUACUGUUUAUACCGGGCAUCUUCAAAUCUUUAUAAUUAACAAUGCUGCUUUUAACUAACACACACAUAUUUUUGGCUUACCCAAUUUCACAUAUAUAAGUUUUUCUGAAUAAAUUUGUGAUGACCUUUGUAAAUUCAUGGAUCAAAAUAUUUUCUUAUANUAUAUAUAUAUAUAUAUAUAUAUAUAUAUAUAUAUAUAUAUAUAUAUGAACUAUUAUAUGUUCCAUCUCCUGAGUUGACCUAUCAUGGAAAAUGAUAUGAUAUACUCUUUCCGUUUCACUCAUUUUUCUACGAUUUUUUUACUGAUCAACACGUAUUUUAAUGAUCUUAGAAAGUAUAAUUUGAUAUUUGAUUUUUAGUUUUUUUAAAUAAAAAUUUAAUAGUUAAAUUUUUAUUAAAAAAUUUUAAAAAUAAAUUAUAAAACUAUAUUUUAGUGAAAUAUUAAUAAUUAAGUGCGUGUCGCAUCUCAAACUUAUUUAAUUGAGGUGAACAGUGAAAGUCUAAUUAUGUUAAAAUUUUGGACAUAGAUUGAAAACAUGGUAUCUAAUAAGUUAGCGUGUGCAGUCUAAAGAAAAGAAAUGAUAGUUUGGUUUUGCAAGACCUAGCAAAGUAAAACACAAACAAACUGUUGCAUGACCUUUUCAAAACUCAAAGAUUUAUGCAAUAUUCAAUGUCGAAGCUGUCAACGGUCUCCCAUUUGUGUAUUAUUAGUACCACUAGGGCUGAAUGAAGCCUAUAAAUACCAUGCAAUCUUCAUUAUUCUAUCCAUAUCCAACACUAUCAACAUUCAAUACCAUCAAAUUCUUUACAAAGUACACAACCAAUAUCCAAGAUUAUGAAGAUAGCUGCAAUUACUACUUGUUUUCCUUACAUUCUACUUUUCUUGUCAUUUUCAUCAACAUUUACAUCAGCUCAAGAUCCUACACACAACUUCCUUCAGUGCCUUAAUCAUCACUCUCAUGACAUCUCCGAAUCCGUCUACACCCGAAAGAACACUAAUUUCUCCGAAACACUGCUCUACUCCAUUAAUAAUUUGCGUUUUGCAAAGCCUGAUACGCCCAAACCUCUGGUCAUUAUCAGGGCAGUGAGUGAAUCCCAGAUCCAAUCCGUGAUUUACUGCUCCAAGAAGCAUCAUUUGGACAUGAGAAUUCGGAGNACACGGGAAUUUCUUGAAAANCUUUCUUAUGUGUCCCCACUCCCAUUCGUCAUACUUGAUCUCGUCAACUUCAAAUCAUUCAGUGCCGAUACUAAAACCAACACUGCAUGGAUUGGCUCCGGUCUCACCAACGGGGAGCUUUAUUACAAGAUUGGCGAGACGAGUGGCACACUUGGAUUUCCAUCUGGUUUAUUUGCAAAUGUGGGUGUUGGAGGCAUUCUAAGCGGAGGGGGUUACGGCAUGAUGAUGCGAAAGCACGGCCUGGCUGCUGACCACGUGAUCGAUGCUCGCCUCAUCGACUCAAACGGAAGAAUUCUCGAUAGAAAAGCCAUGGGAGAAGAUUGGUUCUGGGCUAUUAGAGGAGGUGGUGGUGGAAGCUUUGGAGUUGUUAUUUCCUGGAAAGUUAGAUUACUUCCUGUGCCUAAAAAAGUGACCGUUUACAAAGUCUACAGAACAAUUGAACAAAAUCUCACCAGCAUUUUCCAUCGCUACCAAUCGGUUGCACCCAAGUUCCCGAAAGAGCUCAUGAUCAAGGCCGAUGGACAAAGCAUUGUCAGCAACAUCAGUCGUCGAGCGGAUAAGAGGACAAUAAUAUUCUUGUUCGAGGCCUUAUACCUAGGCAGCGCAGAUAAGAUGCUCUCCGUGAUGCAAGGCCAAUUCCCUGAGCUUGGCGUGGUAAGAGAGGACUGUUUUGAAGUGAGCUGGCUCCAGGCCAUGGUGUACUUCUCAGGUUUCGACUUGUUCACGCCUCCUGAAAUAUUGCUGAACCUCACUGUGUUGCCUCGGCCGGCUUUCAAAUCAAAUAAUGACUACACUGAAGUGCCUAUUCCGGUACAAGGGCUAGAAGGUCUGUGGGAUCUGAUGUACAAACUUCCUCCAACGAAAGCGACUUUACAGUUUACACCUUAUGGCGGAAGAAUGGAUGAAAUUUCAGAAUCUGCACUCCCGUUCCCUUAUAGAGCUGGAACCUUGCUUAAGUUCAACAGGUACGCAGAAACGGAUACAGAUGAAGCUGAACGCAUGGAAUGGAUCAAGACUUUAGCAAGAUUUUUGACUCCUUAUGUUACCAAGAAUCCGAGAAGUGCAUAUGUUAAUUAUGUGGACUUGACGAUGGGGAGUAAUAAUCUCAAAGGUGCCACAAGCUACCAGCAGGCGAGUAGAUGGGGGAAACGAUACUUCAAGAAUAAUUUUGACAGAUUGGUUAAAAUUAAAUCGGCUGUGGAUCCUGAUAACUUCUUCAGACAUGAGCAAAGUAUUCCUCCCAUCUCGGUUUGAAAAUAUAAGAACUAGUUAGAAUCAACCACAACAUGUAUGUAUGAUUUUGUUUUUCUGUAACUUGCAUUAAUUAAAAAGCAAUUAUUUUGAUGUUAUAUGUCUCUAAUAUGACUGCAGCGCGCGAAAUUGAAAUCUUUUUAUGAAAUUAAAAAGAUUGUGAAAUUAUGUGAGGGCAAUCAGAAGAUUGAGACCGACAAAGGGUGACGUUGUUGUCCUCCAAAUAUAUUUUAAUUAUGUAUAGUCAAUACUCCUUCCGUCAAUUUAUGGGUCCCUUUUGAAAAAAACUCGCAUAUUAAGAAAAUAGUUGGUUAAAUAUAAUUUUAUCUCAUGUAUCAAUAAUUAGUACUAUAUUGAUAAAGGAGAAUAGAGUUGAGUUCCAAAAAAAUCACAAAAAAUAUAGAGAUUUAGUGCAUUGAGAAAUGAGAAUAAUGUUGAGUUUCAAAAAACUCAUAAUUAAUAUAGAGAAAAUUUGUAUUGAAAAAAGAGUGGGACAAGUAUUUUGAGACAAAUUUUUUUUCUUCAAAAAGGACAUAUAAAUUGAGACGGAGAGAGUAGACUCCAAUUUCUGCUACUCAAUUGACCUUAAUGAUGAAAAUAGGAUAAAAAAUCUAUUUUAACCUGAUGCACGGUCUAGAGCAGCAUAUAAAGAGUUUGGAGAUGUUAAAAGCCUGCCCAAAACAAGAGAAGAAUAUACUGUAAUACUAUCGCAUUUCAAAUGUGUGUUAAUUCUCCAAGGACUUUGUCUCAGUGUUUUUGAUUUUGUUAAAAAAUAUGACAAGAAUUAAAGGAGAAUGUGCAUGAAGAUGAAGACAUGACCUGUACCACACGUAACAAAAGAGUUGCUCAAGUCACUCAGUUUUGAGUUUUGUGAUCACCCGUUCACAAUGUGUUGAAUCGCAGUUACUCAAUUAUUUUGAAGAAACGCCCAAUAAUCGGCCAGCUAGCCACAAGAGUCGAGACUUGCUCAAAGUCUAACAAUUGAUAAUGAUAUUAUUACCUUUUAUGUCAACGAUCGUUCUUGAAAAACAUAUUCUCAUGUCUCUUUCUAAUAAUUGGGCAUAUAGCGUCUUUCUUUCACUCUUAUAUAUAUAGAAGAGACCAUUUAUAUUUAAAAUAGAUGCUAGUUACCACGAAGGACAAAUAUAUAAAUAAAAUAGUUCAGAAACUUUUGAUGAUGUUUAGAAAAGAAGGGCAUAAAUAAAAUUGAUAAUUCUUUUUUUUGAAGAAAAAUUGAUAAUUCUUUUGAUUACAUUUUAUAAGAACUCUAUUGCUAAAAGAUAUUUGCCUGGUCUUUCUCGUCGUACAUACAUUUUUAACAAAACAUUUUCAGAUUUGUAUUAACAACGCUGUUUUUAACUAACAAACACGUAUUUUUGGCUUACAAAAUUUCAUUACAAUUUUUUCUAGAUAAAUUUCUGAUGACUUCUCAAAAAUCAUGAAUCAAAUUAUUUUAUUAUCAUGUGCCUGUUUGGCAAGGCGGGAGAAACAUUUCUUUUUCAAAGAAGUUGGCUUCGGCUUUUUGUGACCCCUUGGUGUAAAAACGUAUAAGCACUUUUUAGAAUUUGCAAAUGAUAGCUUUUGUCUGAGAGGUUCAAUUCUUUUCCAGACAGUUUAAUCAUUUAUAAGCCUUAACUUGUUUUUUAAAUUUUACUUCAUUUUUUUAUAUUAAUCAAGAAAAAUUUAUUUUAAUCUCAUUCAGACGGUCUCAGUAUAUAAACUAUAAUUUGUUCAAUCACCUGACUUGAUCUAUCAUCGUAGGAUAUACAAUUUUAAAUAGAUAUAUAAUUAAGUUAAAAUUUUGGACAUAAUUGAAGACAUGCUACAGUCUAACAAAUUAGCGUGUGCAGUCUGAAGAAAGAAAUGAUAGUUUGGUUUUGCAAGAAACUGUUGCUUGACCUAGCAAAUUAAAAAACAAACAAAUUGUUGCAUGACCUUUUCAAAACUCAAAGAUUUAUUAUGCAUUCAAUGUCGAAGCUGUCAACGGUCUCCCAUUUGUGUAUUAUUAGUACCACUAGGGCCGAAUGAAGCCUAUAAAUAUCAUGCAAUCUCAUCAUUCUAUCCAUAUCCAACACUAUCAACAUUCAAUACCAUCAAAUUCUUUACAAACAAUAUCCAAGAUUAUGAAGAUAGCUGAAAUCACUACUUGUUUUUCUUACAUUCUACUUUUCUUAUCAUUUUCAUCGACUUUUUCAUCAGCUCAAGAUCCUACACAGAGCUUCCUUCAGUGCCUUAAUCAUCAUUCUCGUGACAUCUCCGAGUUUUCCUACACCCUAAAGAAUACUAAUUUCUCCCAAACACUGCUCUACUCCAUUAACAAUUUGCGUUUUGCAAAGCCUGAUACGCCUAAACCUCUGGUCAUCAUCAGGGCAGUGAGUGAAUCCCACAUUCAGUCUGUGAUUUACUGCUCCAAGAAGCAUAAUCUGGACAUGAGAAUUCGGAGCGGGGGUCACAGUUUCGAGGGUCUUUCUUACGUUUCCCCACUCCCAUUCGUCAUACUUGAUCUCGUCAACUUCAAAUCAUUCAUUGCCGAUACUAAAACCAACACUGCAUGGAUUGGCUCCGGCCUCACCAACGGGGAGCUUUAUUACAAGAUUGGCGAGACGAGUGGCACUCUUGGAUUUCCAUCCGGUUUAUUCGCAAAUGUGGGCGUUGGAGGAAUUCUAAGCGGAGGGGGUUACGGCAUGAUGAUGCGAAAACACGGCCUGGCUGCUGAUCACGUCAUCGAUGCUCGCCUCAUCGAUUCAAACGGAAGAAUUCUUGACAGGAAAGCCAUGGGAGAAGAUUGGUUCUGGGCUAUUAGAGGAGGCGGUGGUGGAAGCUUCGGAGUUGUUAUAUCCUGGAAAGUAAGAUUACUUCCAGUUCCUAAGAAAGUGACCGUUUACAAAGUCUACAGAACAAUUGAACAAAAUCUCACUAGCAUUUUCCAUCGCUACCAAUCGGUUGCACCCAAGUUCCCGAAAGAGCUCAUGAUCAAGGCCGAUGGACAAAGCAUUGUCAGCAACAUCAGUCGUCGAGCGGAUAAGAGGACAAUAAUAUUCUUGUUCGAGGCCUUAUACCUAGGCAGCGCGGAUAAGAUGCUCUCCGUGAUGCAAGGCCAAUUCCCUGAGCUUGGCGUGGUAAGAGAGGACUGUUUUGAAGUGAGCUGGCUCCAGGCCAUGGUGUACUUCUCAG
RNAcentral lists this long non-coding RNA (18514 nucleotides) under Daucus carota (carrot). RNAcentral's name for it is "long non-coding RNA (DCAR_LNC000592)". Lineage: Eukaryota; Viridiplantae; Streptophyta; Magnoliopsida; Apiales; Apiaceae. The record is from RNAcentral.